RNAcentral lists this non-coding RNA (153 nucleotides) under bovine gut metagenome. The record is from RNAcentral.
UCGGGUUCUUACCGAUUAAUAGGGAAUCCUGUGAAAAUCAGGGGCUAUGCCCGUAGCUGUAAGUUCCAGAAAACGCUUCCGGCAAGGAUGUCACUGAUAUUUUUUAUCGGGAAGACGUCGGAAGUGGAACAAGCCAGAAUACCUGCCCGUCUC